RNAcentral lists this ribosomal RNA (845 nucleotides) under Thozetella lithocarpi. RNAcentral describes it as "partial large subunit ribosomal RNA". It matches the Rfam family "Eukaryotic large subunit ribosomal RNA", at positions 65 to 943 of the family's 3401-position model. Lineage: Eukaryota; Fungi; Ascomycota; Sordariomycetes; Chaetosphaeriales; Chaetosphaeriaceae. The record is from RNAcentral.
CCAACAGGGAUUGCCUCAGUAACGGCGAGUGAAGCGGCAACAGCUCAAAUUUGAAAUCUGGCCCUAGGCCCGAGUUGUAAUUUGCAGAGGAUGCUUCUGGCGCGGUGCCUUCCAAGUCCCCUGGAACGGGGCGCCAUAGAGGGUGAGAGCCCCGUCUGGUUGGCCGCCAAGCCUGUGUGAAGCUCCUUCGACGAGUCGAGUAGUUUGGGAAUGCUGCUCUAAAUGGGAGGUAGACCCCUUCUAAAGCUAAAUAUUGGCCAGAGACCGAUAGCGCACAAGUAGAGUGAUCGAAAGAUGAAAAGCACUUUGAAAAGAGGGUUAAACAGUACGUGAAAUUGUUGAAAGGGAAGCGCUUGUGACCAGACGUGCGUCGGGGUGUUCAGCGGGCGUUCUCGCCCGUGCACUCGCCCCGGUGCAGGCCAGCGUCGGUUCGGGAGGGGGGACAAAGGCGCCGGGAACGUAGCUCCUCCGGGAGUGUUAUAGCCCGGCGUGUCAUGCCCCCGCCUGGACCGAGGUUCGCGCUCCGCAAGGACGCUGGCGUAAUGGUCCCCAGCGGCCCGUCUUGAAACACGGACCAAGGAGUCGAGGUUUUGCGCGAGUGUUUGGGUGUCAAACCCGCACGCGUAAUGAAAGUGAACGCAGGUGGGAGCUUCGGCGCACCACCGACCGAUCCUGAUGUUCUCGGAUGGAUUUGAGUAAGAGCGUAGGGCCUCGGACCCGAAAGAUGGUGAACUAUACGUGAAUAGGGUGAAGCCAGAGGAAACUCUGGUGGAGGCUCGCAGCGGUUCUGACGUGCAAAUCGAUCGUCAAAUUUGCGUAUGGGGGCGAAAGACUAAUCGAACCAU